Molecule: ribosomal RNA, 253 nt
Filed under: uncultured bacterium
Lineage: Bacteria
Description: partial 16S ribosomal RNA
Rfam family: Bacterial small subunit ribosomal RNA
Source: RNAcentral
UACGGAGGGUGCAAGCGUUAUCCGGAAUCACUGGGUUUAAAGGGUGCGUAGGCGGAGUAUUAAGUCAGUGGUGAAAUCCUGUCGCUUAACGAUAGAACUGCCAUUGAUACUGGUAUUCUUGAAUUGGGUUGAGGUUAGCGGAAUGUGACAUGUAGCGGUGAAAUGCAUAGAUAUGUCAUGGAACACCAAUUGCGAAGGCAGCUAACUGGGCCUUGAUUGACGCUGAGGCACGAAAGCGUGGGUAGCGAACAGG